GAGUCUCUCGUCCCAUCCCAACAACCCAUCCCUCCCUCCUCCCCUCAGUGCCAGCCACAUUCUCCCCUCCCAAAGCCUCCCGUCCCAUCCGAACAACCCAUCCCUCCCUCCUCUCCUCUGCAGUCCACCUCCAGUCAGCCUGAUCAGCCCUGGGGAGCCUGACUGCUCCAUCAUCUUCAGUCACCCAGGAUGUGAAGAACAAACUACAGAGCAUGUGGUGUGUGCUGGGAUGCCUUGCAGGAGAUCACGCUGGGAUACGAAGCCGCCCCUCAAGAGAUGGAGUCCAUUCAGCUGUUCAAUUCUGCCGAGGGAAAAGAAUCAUUCAACUCUGAAGACUGCCAUGGAUUCUUAUGUAUUAGCUAGCGAGAUGUGAACUUUCUAUCUCGUGAAAAUAAAGUUCAGGGACGUA
Molecule: long non-coding RNA, 409 nt
Organism: Eriocheir sinensis (Chinese mitten crab)
Lineage: Eukaryota; Metazoa; Arthropoda; Malacostraca; Decapoda; Varunidae
Exons: 2
Source: RefSeq, a predicted model, not a curated record